Molecule: long non-coding RNA, 1038 nt
Organism: Cygnus olor (mute swan)
Lineage: Eukaryota; Metazoa; Chordata; Aves; Anseriformes; Anatidae
Exons: 3
Source: RefSeq, a predicted model, not a curated record
UCUCAACAGCCACUGGAAAGUGGGGACCCAGCUGCUGCAAUUUGUAGCAUUUUCACGCAGAAGCCUGGUAACAACCAGCAUGAUCCAUACAGGUCAUGUCUUUGAGGACUUCAGCUCCAAUGCCUUCAACUCCUUUCAAAAUGGAUUUUUUGCUUUUAGAAUAUCCAGCUUGGAAGCUCUUUCAGAGAGGCAGCAAAAACAUAUGUGGUAUCAUGAACAAUUCUGUCAGAUGUUAUUCAAAAGCACAGAAAUACAUAGAAUCCUCCAGAAAAGGCUACAUUCUUUUUUAAACAAACAAACAAACCUCUUAUUGAGAACAGCUUACCUUUAAUUCUUGCUUUUAGAAACAAUUAUUUUUGCUGCAAAUAAUUCAAAAAUGUCAAAAUAUUACAAGUGUUACAAUGAGAGUCACAGAGAGAAUCCUAAGUUAAAUUAGCUAGCAGGACGUUAUAAAGAAAAUAUUAGGCAACUCAAAGUCUAGCCAUAACAAUCAUUCCCAGCAACAAGAAGCAAAAAGCAUAGGAAAGGCAGUAUUGCAUAACAAUACCACAGUGAUCUCACAUGAUACCUCACCAGGAUUUCACAGAACGUUAGAAGAUGGACUCAGUUUUAUUUUUGUGAAAAUGAUGUGGCCCACAAAAUAUGGAAGACAAUCACAGGCUAUGGCGAAAGAGUGAACCCUGGCCAAGACUGCGGGUUGCGCAUCUGGACGCAGCUUAAGAUGAGGCAAUUACUUAUCCUACAAUAGCUCUGAUACUUCAAGAUGUUGUGCUCCAUGUGUAUCCUAUUGUACAAGUCUGCGAGGCACAUGUACACAACACAUGCUUUCCUGGCAGCCCCAGCAUUCAGCAGAGCUAUGCUUGUACAUUCUGCUCCUUAUGUUCCCAUAUGAGAGGAAAUAAAGGCUAGGAUAACUUUGCCCAAUUAUCCUCGCAAUGUUAAGCCUAUACUGCUGAGAAUUCCAAACAGUCUGGACAGAAAGCUGGGUAGAAAAUCUUCAUUGACAGCAAGUGUACUGGUGGUAAAUAAUUGUUUUGU